This 76-nucleotide transfer RNA is filed under the name Bacteroidetes bacterium CG2_30_33_31. RNAcentral's name for it is "tRNA-Phe". It matches the Rfam family "tRNA". Rfam says of the family: Transfer RNA (tRNA) molecules are approximately 80 nucleotides in length. The record is from RNAcentral. RNAcentral also lists the same sequence under 1 other name. Lineage: Bacteria; Pseudomonadati; Bacteroidota.
GGUACCAUAGCUCAGUUGGUAGAGCAAUGGACUGAAAAUCCAUGUGUCCCUGGUUCAAAUCCAGGUGGUACCACAA